Mytilus trossulus (common blue mussel) is the source of this 745-nucleotide long non-coding RNA. RefSeq lists it as uncharacterized. The transcript is spliced from 3 exons. NCBI's taxonomy places the organism in Eukaryota, Metazoa, Mollusca, Bivalvia, Mytilida, Mytilidae. The record is from RefSeq and is a predicted model, not a curated record.
GACACAAGUGAUGUUGUUUUGGAUUUUAUGCUUCUACUACCAUUGUGUUUAUAACAAUUUAAUAGUGAAUGUGUAAUACAACACAUGGUUAGCUGGCUUGAACGACCUACAUAUUAUAUUCUCUACGUAGCAGAUUUUGUGAUGGUUCUGAAGAUUCAUAAUUCAUACAAUGUGAUACUUGAUUCCAUAUUGCAGCAGCACUGCUUCAAAGUAAGACUAUCAUAUUUCAUAGAACUAGCUAUAAAGGUAUAAAGGUAUUUUCAAAAUGGGAAGAAAGAAAAUGACAAAGUAUCGAUUUCGCAAACACAUAAGUUAUGACGAUAUACGUGAAGCUAUAAAGAAGCUGAAUAUUCAGACAUUCACAAAAUCGUGGCGGGAUGAACAGUCAGAAUAUGGGUUGAUAUGCAAUACAAUUGGCCGAAAAAACAGCACAGCAAACAGGUUACGGAUACGAGCCCUGAUUAGAAACGAACCAAAAGCUGAACUUGAAAAGCCGGAGUGGCACAAUAUUAAAUUGAAGACUGAUGCAUUUGCAGAGAAUGAACACAUCGAAAAUGAUAACCGUAAAAACACUAAACAAGUUCUGGUAAUUGAUGAACUGUCAGGUAAAUCAAGUGCUGUAUAGAAUUAUUUGAACUUUUAUGACUGAUCAUGAUAUUUUGUACUGACUUCUUUUUUAUCAGAGAAAGAAAAGUUGGAUUUCAAAUUGUUGAUUUAUUAAUAGAAAUCUGUGAGACCUAUAAAC